GAUGAAGAACGUAGCGAAAUGCGAUACUUGGUGUGAAUUGCAGAAUCCGUGAACCAUCGAGUCUUUGAACGCAAGUUGCGCCCGAAGCCAUUAGGCCGAGGGCACGCCUGCCUGGGCGUCACACGUCGUUGCCCCCCCAUCUACUCCUUCGGGAUUGCGGGGGGCGGAUGAUGGCCUCCCGUGCGCCUCGUCGCGCGGUUGGCAUAAAUGCCAAGUCCUCGGCGACGCACGCCACGACAAUCGGUGGUUGCGAAACCUCGGUUGCCCGUCGUGUGCGGUCGUCGCGCAUCGAGGGCUCGAAAAAAUUGUCGGGCUCCGGCUCGGCUUUCAACGCGACCCCAGGUCAGGCGGGGUUACCCGCUGAAUUUAAGCAUAUCAAUAAGCGGAGGA
RNAcentral lists this unclassified non-coding RNA (390 nucleotides) under soil metagenome. Its description in RNAcentral is "partial contains 5.8S ribosomal RNA, internal transcribed spacer 2, and large subunit ribosomal RNA". The stretch from base 1 to 121 matches the Rfam family "5.8S ribosomal RNA", at positions 35 to 154 of the family's 154-position model. The record is from RNAcentral.